This 501-nucleotide ribosomal RNA is filed under the name uncultured bacterium. Its description in RNAcentral is "partial 16S ribosomal RNA". It matches the Rfam family "Bacterial small subunit ribosomal RNA", at positions 29 to 523 of the family's 1533-position model. The record is from RNAcentral.
AUUGAACGCUGGCGGCAUGCCUUACACAUGCAAGUCGAACGGCGGCACGGGUGCUUGCACCUGGUGGCGAGUGGCGAACGGGUGAGUAAUACAUCGGAACGUACCUUAUCGUGGGGGAUAACGCAGCGAAAGCUGUGCUAAUACCGCAUACGCCCUGAGGAGGAAAGCGGGGGAUCGCAAGACCUCGCGCGAUUAGAGCGGCCGAUGCCUGAUUAGCUUGUUGGUGGGGUAAAAGCCCACCAAGGCGACGAUCGGUAGCUGGUCUGAGAGGACGAUCAGCCACACUGGGACUGAGACACGGCCCAGACUCCUACGGGAGGCAGCAGUGGGGAAUUUUGGACAAUGGGGGCAACCCUGGUCCAGCAAUGCCGCGUGAGUGAAGAAGGCCUUCGGGUUGUAAAGCUCUUUUGUCAGGGAAGAAACACCGGCUCUAACACAGUCCGGGAAUGACGGUACCUGAAGAAUAAGCACCGGCUAACUACGUGCCAGCAGCCGCGGUAA